GUUUGUAUUCUUCCACAGCUUUCUUGAACUGCAUCCCUUUCCUGAACUCAAUUCGCUCUUAAUUUCCCCUUUCUCGAUCUCUCUCGAUCGAUCUCAAAGCGUUUUUUGUUCAUCAAUUUUGUUGCGGUUCAAUAAAGCUGUGGGAAGAUACAGUCA
Molecule: microRNA precursor, 156 nt
Filed under: Cucumis sativus (cucumber)
Lineage: Eukaryota; Viridiplantae; Streptophyta; Magnoliopsida; Cucurbitales; Cucurbitaceae
Description: pre miRNA MIR396
Rfam family: MIR396 microRNA precursor family
Source: Rfam by way of RNAcentral